Molecule: ribosomal RNA, 792 nt
Filed under: Bacillus sp. CUL-PUPN3D3
Lineage: Bacteria; Bacillati; Bacillota; Bacilli; Caryophanales; Bacillaceae
Description: partial 16S ribosomal RNA
Rfam family: Bacterial small subunit ribosomal RNA
Source: RNAcentral
UUAGAGUUUGAUCCUGUNUCAGGAUGAACGCUGNCGGCGUGCCUAAUACAUGCAAGUCGAGCGAAUGGAUUAAGAGCUUGCUCUUAUGAAGUUAGCGNCGGACGGGUGAGUAACACGUGGGUAACCUGCCCAUANGACUGGGAUAACUCCGGGAAACCGNGGCUAAUACCGGAUAACAUUUUGAACNNCAUGGUUCGAAAUUNAAAGGCGGCUUCGGCUGUCACUUAUGGAUGGACCCGCGUNGCAUUANCUAGUUGGUGAGGUAACGGCUCACCAAGGCAACGAUNCGUAGCCGACNUGAGAGGGUGAUNGGCCACACUGGGACUGAGACACGGCCCAGACUCCUNCGGGAGGCAGCAGUAGGGAAUCUUCCGCAAUGGACGAAAGUCUGACGGAGCAACGCCGCGUGAGUGAUGAAGGCUUUCGGGUCGUAAAACUCUGUUGUUAGGGAAGAACAAGNNCUAGUUGAAUAAGCUGGCACCUUGACGGUACCUANCCAGAAAGCCNCGGCUAACUACGUGCCAGCAGCCGCGGUAAUACGUAGGUGGCAAGCGUUAUCCGGAAUUAUUGGGCGUAAAGCGCGCGCAGGUGGUUUCUUAAGUCUGAUGUGAAAUCCCNCGGCUCAACCGUGGAGGGUCAUUGGAAACUGGGAGACUUGAGUGCAGAAGAGGAAAGUGGAAUUUCCAUGUGUAGCGGUGAAAUGCGUAGAGAUAUCGAGGAACACCAGUGGCGAAGGCGACUUUCUGGUCUGUAACCUGACCACUGAGGCGCGAAAGCGUGGGAGCAACAGAU